This 468-nucleotide ribosomal RNA is filed under the name uncultured bacterium. Its description in RNAcentral is "partial 16S ribosomal RNA". It matches the Rfam family "Bacterial small subunit ribosomal RNA", at positions 28 to 507 of the family's 1533-position model. The record is from RNAcentral.
GACGAGCGCUGGCGGCGUGCUUAACACAUGCAAGUCGAACGGAAAGGCCCUGCUUUUGUGGGGUGCUCGAGUGGCGAACGGGUGAGUAACACGUGAGUAACCUGCCCUUGACUUUGGGAUAACUUCAGGAAACUGGGGCUAAUACCGGAUAGGAGCUCCUGCUGCAUGGUGGGGGUUGGAAAGUUUCGGCGGUUGGGGAUGGACUCGCGGCUUAUCAGCUUGUUGGUGGGGUAGUGGCUUGCCAAGGCUUUGACGGGUAGCCGGCCUGAGAGGGUGACCGGCCACAUUGGGACUGAGAUACGGCCCAGACUCCUACGGGAGGCAGCAGUGGGGAAUAUUGCACAAUGGGCGGAAGCCUGAUGCAGCAACGCCGCGUGCGGGAUGACGGCCUUCGGGCUGUAAACCGCUUUCGCCUGUGACGAAGCGUGAGUGACGGUAAUGGGUAAAGAAGCACCGGCUAACUACGUG